GCCUAACACAUGCAAGUCGAACGAGUAAAGUGGAGCAAUCCAUGAGUAAAGUGGCGCACGGGUGAGUAACACGUGACUAACCUACCUUUUAGUGGGGGAUAACCUAGGGAAACCUGGCUAAUACCGCAUAAUACCUACGGGUCAAAGCAGCAAUGCGCUGAAAGAGGGGGUCGCGGCCGAUUAGCUAGUUGGCGGGGUAAUGGCCCACCAAGGCAGUGAUCGGUAUCCGGCCUGAGAGGGCGCACGGACACACUGGAACUGAAACACGGUCCAGACUCCUACGGGAGGCAGCAGUGGGGAAUUUUGCGCAAUGGGGGAAACCCUGACGCAGCAACGCCGCGUGGAGGAUGAAGUCCCUUGGGACGUAAACUCCUUUCGCAUCGGGACGAUAAUGACGGUACCGGAAGAAGA
Molecule: ribosomal RNA, 411 nt
Filed under: uncultured Acidobacteriaceae bacterium
Lineage: Bacteria; Pseudomonadati; Acidobacteriota; Terriglobia; Terriglobales; Acidobacteriaceae
Description: bacterial SSU rRNA
Rfam family: Bacterial small subunit ribosomal RNA
Source: RNAcentral